This 506-nucleotide ribosomal RNA is filed under the name uncultured bacterium. RNAcentral's name for it is "partial 16S ribosomal RNA". It matches the Rfam family "Bacterial small subunit ribosomal RNA", at positions 30 to 523 of the family's 1533-position model. The record is from RNAcentral.
AUUGAACGCUGGCGGCAGGCCUAACACAUGCAAGUCGAGCGGUAACACAGAGGAGCUUGCUCCUUGGGUGACGAGCGGCGGACGGGUGAGUAAUGCCUGGGGAUCUGCCCGAUAGAGGGGGAUAACUACGGGAAACUGUAGCUAAUACCGCAUAAUGUCUACGGACCAAAGUGGGGGCUCUUCGGACCUCAUGCUAUCGGAUGAACCCAGGUGGGAUUAGCUAGUUGGUGAGGUAAUGGCUCACCAAGGCGACGAUCUCUAACUGGUUUGAGAGAAUGACCAGUCACACUGGAACUGAGACACGGUCCAGACUCCUACGGGAGGCAGCAGUGGGGAAUAUUGCACAAUGGGCGCAAGCCUGAUGCAGCCAUGCCGCGUGUGUGAAGAAGGCCUUCGGGUUGUAAAGCACUUUCAGCGGGGAGGAAGGGUCACUAGUUAAUACCUAGUGGCAUUGACGUUACUCGCAGAAGAAGCACCGGCUAACUCCGUGCCAGCCGCCGCAGUAA